This 1310-nucleotide ribosomal RNA is filed under the name Escherichia coli. RNAcentral describes it as "bacterial SSU rRNA". It matches the Rfam family "Bacterial small subunit ribosomal RNA". Lineage: Bacteria; Pseudomonadati; Pseudomonadota; Gammaproteobacteria; Enterobacterales; Enterobacteriaceae. The record is from RNAcentral.
AAAUUGAAGAGUUUGAUCAUGACAAGGCUCGAACGCUAACGCCACAAGUCGAACGGUAACAGGAAGCGGCUUUGCGCUGCUGGCGAAACGGCGGGGCGGUGAAGUAUAAUGUCUGGAAACUGCCGCGGUGAGGACCAACUACUGGAAACGGUAGCUAAUACCACGCUAACGUCGCGAGAGCCAAGGAGGACCUUACGGGCCUCUUGCCAUCGGAUGUGCCCAGAUGGGAUUAGCUAGUAGGUGGGGGUAACGGCUCGCUGGGCGAUCUAACUGGUCUGGGGGUUGUUCAGCUUCCAUGGAACACGGGGCCGCGGGUCCGGAGCUCACGGGAGGCAGCAGUGGGGCUCAUUGCACAAUGGGCGCAAAUACGGUACAAGCUUUCCAUCGCGCAUUGUAUGAAAGAAGGCCUUCCCGGGUUUGUAAAGUACUUUCAGCGGGGAGGGGUAAAGUUAACUGCACGCUCGUAGCGAUUGCCCGCAGAAGAAACGCUAAACGCUCCGUGCCAGCAGCCGCGGUGGCCACGGAGGGUGCAAGCGUUAAUCGAAUUACGCGGGCUUGGCACGGUACGGUUUGGCGUUGAAGUCGGAAUGGCGAAAUCCCCGAACUCCGGCACGGGAACUUACAUCUGUGCGGCGGCGGGAAUAUACGGGGGUAGAAUUCCGAGGGUGGCAGCGGUGAAAUGCGUAGAGAUCUGGAGGGCAUCUGCCGGUGGCGAAGGCGGCCCCCGGACGAGGCUUGACGCUCAGGUGCGAAGCGUAGGAACCAGAGCAGGUUGUGCCCCGGUCCACGCCGUAAACGAUGUCGACUUGGAGGUUGUGCCCUUGAGGCGUGGCUUCCGGAGCUAACGCGUUAAGUCGACCGCCUGGGGAGUACGGCCGCAAGGUUAAAACUCAAAUGAAUUGACGGGGGCCCGCACAAGCGGUGGAGCAUGUGGUUUAAUUCGAUGCAACGCGAAGAACCUUACCUGGUCUUGACAUCCACGGAAGUUUUCAGAGAUGAGAAUGUGCCUUCGGGAACCGUGAGACAGGUGCUGCAUGGCUGUCGUCAGCUCGUGUUGUGAAAUGUUGGGUUAAGUCCCGCAACGAGCGCAACCCUUAUCCUUUGUUGCCAGCGGUCCGGAAUACCACGGUGAAUACGUUCCCGGGCCUUGCACACACCGCCAAAUCCUGGGAGGGUUUGCAAAAAGAAGUGGGCGGCUUAACCUUCGGAGGCGCUUACCACUUUGUGAUUCAUGACUGGGGGUGAAGUCGUAACAAGGUAACCGUAGGGGGAACCUGCGGUUGGAUCACCUCCUGCAACCUUAAAGAAGC